UGUAUUAAAUUUAGAAUUUAAUAAUGUAUAUUUAAUUAUAUACAAAUAGGA
This 51-nucleotide transfer RNA is filed under the name Beraea pullata. RNAcentral describes it as "tRNA-Leu". Lineage: Eukaryota; Metazoa; Arthropoda; Insecta; Trichoptera; Beraeidae. The record is from RNAcentral.